Molecule: microRNA precursor, 106 nt
Filed under: Canis lupus familiaris (dog)
Lineage: Eukaryota; Metazoa; Chordata; Mammalia; Carnivora; Canidae
Also listed under: 1 other name
Description: mir-8834 microRNA precursor family
Rfam family: mir-8834 microRNA precursor family
Source: Rfam by way of RNAcentral
AGGAGGAAUAACCACAGUGGUGGCGGCCAGCUCUGGAGCCCUGGCUUCAGCUCCCGCAGUAUCUACAGAGCUCUCCGCCUGCAGGGCCUGGAGGCUCCGGGGCAGG